Molecule: ribosomal RNA, 1866 nt
Filed under: Triticum aestivum (bread wheat)
Lineage: Eukaryota; Viridiplantae; Streptophyta; Magnoliopsida; Poales; Poaceae
Description: partial small subunit ribosomal RNA
Source: RNAcentral
AUGGCGGCGCGACUCCGCGACCCCGCCACGCUGCUCCCGUCCCUCGUCGGGGCCUCCUCCCCCCAUUCCCGCCUCCGCGAGAUCCACGCGCACCUCCUCGUCUCGGGCCGCCUCGCCUCUCCCUCCCACCACGCCGACUUCGUCGCCUCCCUCGCCUCCUCCAGCCACCUCUCCUACGCGCGCCUCCUCCUGCCCCGGCGCCCGGCCACGCUACUCGUCCACAACGGCCUCCUCCGCGCCCUCGCCCGCGGACCAUGCCCCGGCCUCGCCUUCGCGGCCUUCCGCGAGCUCCCCCUCGCGCCCGAUCACUACUCGUUCACCUUCCUCGUCCGCGCCGCGACCUCCCUGGCCGCCGCCGCCUCCUCGGCGACGCCCGUGCCCACCGAUGUCGCCGUGAGCCUGCUCGCUGGUUCCGUGCACGCGGCGGCGUUCCGCCACGGCCAUGCAGCGGACCUGCACGUCCAGAGCGGCGCCGUAUCCAUGUACGCGGCGGUCGGGGACGUGGGCGCCGUGCGGGCCGCCUUCGCGGAGAUCAUGAGCCCGGACGUGGUGUGCGUCACUGCUAUGUUGGGCGCUCUCUCAGCCGGAGGCGAUGUUGACACUGCGCGCGAGCUGUUUGACAGAAUGCCGCAGCAGGACCAUGUCGCCUGGAACGCCAUGCUCACAGGUUAUGUGCGCGUGGGCAGGGCAAGGGAAGCCUUGGGGCUGUUCGACGAAAUGCAGAAGGCUGGGGUUUCUGUCGGUGAGGCGACUCUGGUGUCAGUGCUCACUGCCUGUGCACAGAUGGGUGCACUAGAACGUGGCAUGUGGGUGCACUCCUAUGUGUGCAGCCGAGGGAUGCGGGUUUCGGUCACACUGGGCACUGCUUUGCUGGAUAUGUAUUCCAAGUGUGGAGUUGUCACGAUGGCGAUGGAGGUGUUCGAGAGCAUGACCGAAAGGAACAUCUACACCUGGACCAGCGCACUGAGCGGCCUCGCGAUGAAUGGCAUGGGGGAGGAGUGUCUUGAGCUGUUCAAGCGUAUGGAGAGCACAGGCAUGGAGCCUAAUGGUGUCACAUUUGUCGCGGUGCUCCGUGGAUGCUCCGUGGCUGGGUUGGUAGAAGAGGGACGAGCAUGCUUUGAUUCGAUGAAGGAUAAGCACAAAGCUGAGCCUUGGCUUGAGCACUACGGCUGCAUGGUUGAUUUGUAUGGUCGAGCAGGGUGUCUGGAUGAUGCUGUCAAUUUCAUCAAUUCUAUGCCAGUGGAGCCACAUGAAGGUGUCUGGGGAGCACUACUCAACGCUUCUCGGAUUCACAACAACGCCGAUCUGGGCAAACACGCAAUGUACAAGCUCACGAAGAUUGAGUCCAAAAAUGAUGCGGCUCACGUGUUGCUGUCUAAUAUAUACGCGGAGUCGCACAACUGGAAGGGCGUCAGCAAAGUUCGGAACAUGAUGAAGUCCAAGGGAGUGAAAAAGGUGCCUGGGUGUAGUGCCAUUGAGGUUGAUGGCAAGGUGCAUGAGUUCUUCGUCGGGAGCAAGUCUCACCCCAGAUACAAGGAUAUCGAGACCAUGCUUGCAGGUAUGAGCCAUAAGCUGAGAUUGCAAGGGUACACCGCAAACACAAAAGAGGUAUUAUUCGAUAUCGAGGAAGAGGAGAAAGAAGGUGCGAUCUCCUUGCACAGUGAGAAGCUUGCCCUCGCCUUCGGUCUUAUCACGUUGCCAGAAGGCACGGUGAUCAGGAUCGUGAAGAACUUGAGAGUGUGCAAGGACUGCCAUGAUUAUACCAAGAUGAUAUCUAAGGUCUUCGACAGGGAGAUUGUUAUGAGAGAUAGGAAUAGGUUUCACCAUUUCAAGCAUGGCGCGUGCUCCUGUAGGGAUUACUGGUGA